UUACUGUUAAAAAAUCACUUGAACUGUAGAAGUCGUAAGUUGCAAUGACCUUUAAAUGCCUGAAGGUCCUCUCCCAAAAAUAUUAAUUUUUGAAGCUCGAUUACUGCUUUUCUUGCAUUUCCUGUAGCGAUCGAGAAAAAAAACUACCAAUUUUAAGGGCAUAUAUUCGGAAACUUUGCAUUAAAGUCGUAAUUGCACACUUAUAUUUUAGAACGGUCAUGUAGUGAAUGGAUUUAGAACUUAACAUUUUGUGUAAAGUUUCCACAAUGAUAAUAAUGACUGAACUCGACUCAAGCACAUUUUUGCAUGCACAGUCAAGAAUCCAAACCCCAAACAUCUGGUAUCUCGCAAGUGGUCCAUGAGAGUGGUCUGACGAGAGUGGUCCACGAAGGUAGUCCACGGACCAGGUCCACGAAGGUAGUCCACGGACCUGGGGUCCGCGUUUUGUCGUUUCCCGCCUUCUACGCAGGCUGAUAUUUACAUUUCAAAAAUAAUUAAUAAUUUGUGAGGAAAAUACAAAGAAAAAUCAUAACAUAAGCGUGUCGUUUACAUGUGAUAGAGAUUUCCCUUGAUUUACAUAAACUUUAACGUUGAUUUUCUCGACUUAUACAACGUAUUUUUUGAAAAUUACUUCGCCAAUGACCGUAGUAUAGAGCGAUCGUUUUUGAAGCAAUUUAAAAUACUGUGCCGAUGUCUUCUUUAUUAAUAUCAGACCUAAAGAGUAAAGAUAUUCGGCUUGGCCUCCUAUUUUAUAUCUGAUAAAACACUGCUGAUCAUGCAUUAAAUAGUACUAAAAAACUCAUUUAGAUAAACUUUAAGUUAAAUUUUCUCACCAAAUAUCAUUCAUUGAAUAUUUAAAAUUGUUGAAGAAUACGAAUGUUCUCAAACGUUUGAUCACAAGUCAUACGAAGUAUCGAAGUAUCACAUGUUGUGACAUUGUUGUCCCAGACAUUGUCUUUGGCUCAAGUUUGUACAUUUGAUACAACACGGCCGCUCAUGCUUUAUCUAGAUUGUAGACAUAAAAUUUACAUCCGCAGUGCGUGUUUUAUCAGACUUAUAAAAGAUACUCGGCCUCGCCUAUAGUACUUCAAACUUUUGAAGACCAUACAUGUCAAGUCCGCGUAAUGUAAAUAAAUCCUUCGACGCUUUGUUUAUAUUUUGGACUGCUAUAUAUUUGUAAAAUAAGACAUACUAUUAACUAAAUAAAUAUCUAACAGUUUUCUGGUUCGCUAUUGUAAAUGAAUAUAAACUAGAGUACGUUUCAAUUCAAAACAUUUCGAAAAAUGCAAAAUUUGGGCAAUAUUUAUUUCUGUGGGUCGCCGUUUGUUAUGAACAGAACUGAUGUGCAGAACGAACUUGACAAGGUCUUUAAACAUUAAAAAAAUC
This is a non-coding RNA of Paramuricea clavata, 1386 nucleotides long. The record is from the annotation of a GenBank genome assembly. Lineage: Eukaryota; Metazoa; Cnidaria; Anthozoa; Malacalcyonacea; Plexauridae.